CUUUAUACAUAUUUAUAGGCUUAAAUUAAAAUAAACUCAUCUCAAUUAAAUGAAUUAAGGACCCAAACCAAUAAUUAAGUCCAUAAUCUAAUUUAUUACUAAGGUCCAAUAGCAAUUAAUGGCCCAAGUAUUAUUUAAACCCAAUAUGAAAUUCUCAAAGCCCAAUUAAUCAAAAUAAAUUAAAAACUAAAUAGAACUUAAGUCUAGAAUAUACUCCUAAAGUCAACAUCUCUCUUCUUCCUUCUUUUUCUUUUUACGCAGACUCCAUUUCUCUCUGUUCUCUCACCUGCGUCUCUCACUUUCCCUCUCCCUCUCGCCCGGCGACGUCGCCAGUCCUCGCCGCCUCCGGCGCGGCGAGGCCGGCGUCUCUCUCCCCUUCUUCUUCCUUUCCUUCCCUUUUCCCCAAUUCUUAAUUCAAAAUCAACCUAGGGUUUCUAAUUUUCCCCCCUUCAACUCCAGUCAACCGGCGAGUUUCACUGCCACCGUUGUCCCCGUCGCACUGCCACCUACUCCAUCUCAGGUAAGCUUCUCUUUCUCCCUCUUUUUCUCUCUGUCUCUCGAUCUCUCUCUCUGCCUUCUCUGCGCUCUUAAUCUCGAUCUCUCUCUCUGCCCCUUUGCUUGCAGCGGCCGCUGCGAGCCGCAGCGGCGCAUGCAGCGCCGGCGGUCGCCGCCGCUCUGCUCUUCUCUCCCUGCCUCUAUCUCGCUCUACUUUCUCUCAUGUCCGUGUCUCUCUGUUUUUGUCUUACUCUCUCUCGCUCAAACUCUCUGUGCUACUGGCGGCCACCGCGGACCGCCGUGGCGUGGGCAGUGCCGGCGGUCGCUGCCGCCAGUCGCGCCUCCGUCGCGGUGGCUCGCGGUUGCUGCUGCUGCUGCCAUCCUUUCCCCUGUUCUAUUUUUUNUACUCAUAACUCUAGCGUUAAUCAUAACUCUACUCAUUCUAAUUUAAUAAAUAGCUAUUAACUGGAAAUAAUAUAAAUCUAUUUUUCUCUUCUUUCUAAGAAUUUGAUUCUAUAUAAUCUAGUGUCUAAUUUAUGCAUAAUUACAUAGAGUAAUAGCAUAAUUUAAUUAUAUGUCUAGGCCAUUUAAUAAAUCAAGCCAAUUAUUAGCAAAUAGCUAAUAAUCCUUUAUACAUAUUUAUAGGCUUAAAUUAAAAUAAACUCAUCUCAAUUAAAUGAAUUAAGGACCCAAACCAAUAAUUAAGUCCAUAAUCUAAUUUAUUACUAAGGUCCAAUAGCAAUUAAUGGCCCAAGUAUUAUUUAAACCCAAUAUGAAAUUCUCAAAGCCCAAUUAAUCAAAAUAAAUUAAAAACUAAAUAGAACUUAAGUCUAGAAUAAGUCAACAUCUCUCUUCUUCCUUCUUUUUCUUUUUACGCAGACUCCAUUUCUCUCUGUUCUCUCACCUGCGUCUCUCACUUUCCCUCUCCCUCUCGCCCGGCGACGUCGCCAGUCCUCGCCGCCUCCGGCGCGGCGAGGCCGGCGUCUCUCUCCCCUUCUUCUUCCUUUCCUUCCCUUUUCCCCAAUUCUUAAUUCAAAAUCAACCUAGGGUUUCUAAUUUCCCCCCCUUCAACUCCAGUCAACCGGCGAGUUUCACUGCCACCGUUGUCCCCGUCGCACUGCCACCUACUCCAUCUCAGGUAAGCUUCUCUUUCUCCCUCUUUUUCUUUCUGUCUCUCGAUCUCUCUCUCUGCCUUCUCUGCGCUCUUAAUCUCGAUCUCUCUCUCUGCCCCUUUGCUUGCAGCGGCCGCUGCGAGCCGCAGCGGCGCAUGCAGCGCCGGCGGUCGUCGCCGCUCUGCUCUUCUCUCCCUGCCUCUAUCUCGCUCUACUUUCUCUCAUGUCCGUGUCUCUCUGUCUUUGUCUUUUUCUCUCUGUCAAACUCUCUGUGCUACUGGCGGCCACCGCGGACCGCCGUGGCGUGGGCAGUGCCGGCGGUCGCUGCCGCCAGUCGCGCCUCCGUCGCGGUGGCUCGCGGUUGCUGCUGCUGCUGCUGCCAUCCUUUCCCCUGUUCUAAUUAUUUUCCUUCUUCUUUUCUCUUUUUCUUUAUUUUCUAUUUCAAUAACCUAUUUCAGUUCUAAUACCUCAAACUAAUCAAUCCCUAGUUUUUCUAUUUCAGGAAUCCAUGAUUCAGGGUGUCUCUCGGAGUGGCUACUGCUCAAGAUCCGAUUUUUAUAUGUGAUAAAUCUAUUUCUUUAUUGUUAUUAAGAAAUUGGAACAGUGUUUAUGAAGUCAGAAUUGCAUAUGUGAUUAUAGUUAUUACUCAUCACAGUUCUUGGUUGCUGCCUUUAUGAUAUAAAGUUAACUGUAUUGAAAAGAAAGACUACCUUCUUUGAUGUCUGCUGUGGAUGAUUGUGUGUAAUUUGUGUGUUGGAUGGAUGUUUACUGGAGUAGUAGUUAAGAUUUUGCAGAAUGAAGAAAAUGGUUCAACGCUUGAGGGAUGAAGCUUAUACUGACUUGAGUCGGCGUGGAAGCUAAAUGCUACGUGUAUGAAGAAUAACUAAUCUGAAUUAAUAAUCUGAAUAAUUUAACUUACGCUAAUAAGGUUGACUAAUCUGCUUAAUGAAAGAAUGUUGGGUUUGGGCUCUCUCAUUCUUUAAUAUUCUUAGCCCAACCAAAUAGCUAUUGUUUUUAUACUUAAAAACUGAAUUCAUAUACACAAAUUGGGCUCUGGCUACUUCACAUUCAAAUAAAAUUGCUA
RNAcentral lists this long non-coding RNA (2691 nucleotides) under Salvia miltiorrhiza (redroot sage). RNAcentral's name for it is "long non-coding RNA (SMIL_LNC000704)". The record is from RNAcentral. Lineage: Eukaryota; Viridiplantae; Streptophyta; Magnoliopsida; Lamiales; Lamiaceae.